Molecule: ribosomal RNA, 433 nt
Filed under: uncultured bacterium
Lineage: Bacteria
Description: partial 16S ribosomal RNA
Rfam family: Bacterial small subunit ribosomal RNA
Source: RNAcentral
AACGAACGCUGGCGGCAUGCCUAACACAUGCAAGUCGAACGAGACCUUCGGGUCUAGUGGCGCACGGGUGCGUAACGCGUGGGAACCUGCCCUUAGGUUCGGAAUAACUCCCCGAAAGGGGUGCUAAUACCGGAUAAUGUCUUCGGACCAAAGAUUUAUCGCCUUUGGAUGGGCCCGCGUUGGAUUAGCUAGUUGGUAGGGUAAAAGCCUACCAAGGCGACGAUCCAUAGCUGGUCUGAGAGGAUGAUCAGCCACACUGGGACUGAGACACGGCCCAGACUCAUACGGGAGGCAGCAGUGGGGAAUAUUGGACAAUGGGCGAAAGACUGAGCAAGCAAUGCCGCGUGAGUGAUGAAGGCCUUAGGGUUGUAAAGCUCUUUUACCAGGGAUGAUAAUGACAGUACCGGGAGAAUAAGCUCCGGCUAACUCCGUG